Molecule: ribosomal RNA, 324 nt
Filed under: uncultured bacterium
Lineage: Bacteria
Description: bacterial SSU rRNA
Rfam family: Bacterial small subunit ribosomal RNA
Source: RNAcentral
GAUGAACGCUGGCGGCGUGCUUAACACAUGCAAGUCGAACGAAGCGAUCAGGAGGAAAUUUUCGGAUGGAAUCCGGAUUGACUGAGUGGCGGACGGGUGAGUAACGCGUGGGUAACCUGCCUCAUACAGGGGGAUAACAGUUAGAAAUGACUGCUAAUACCGCAUAAGCGCACGGGGAUGCAUAUUCUUGUGUGAAAAACUCAGGUGGUAUGAGAUGGACCCGCGUCUGAUUAGCUAGUUGGUGAGGUAACGGCUCACCAAGGCGACGAUCAGUAGCCGACCUGAGAGGGUGACCGGCCACAUUGGGACUGAGACACGGCCCAA